This 140-nucleotide non-coding RNA is filed under the name Actinophytocola sp. The record is from RNAcentral. Lineage: Bacteria; Bacillati; Actinomycetota; Actinomycetes; Pseudonocardiales; Pseudonocardiaceae.
GACCAGUGAUACCGUUGGCGCGACCCUGGUAGAGGAAGCCGGUGAGAAUCCGGCGCAGUCGCGCUACUGUGACACCAGUUCGACGGUCGGUGACGACCACGAGCGGGUGAAGCCAGACCCGAGCCAAGAGGUUGCCCAGC